GCAGCCGUGGUCUAGGGGUUAUGACCGGAGCUUCCCAAGCUUCUAACCCGGGUUCAAAUCCCGGCGGCUGCA
Molecule: transfer RNA, 72 nt
Filed under: Thermoplasmatales archaeon
Lineage: Archaea; Methanobacteriati; Thermoplasmatota; Thermoplasmata; Thermoplasmatales
Description: tRNA-Gly
Rfam family: tRNA
About the family: Transfer RNA (tRNA) molecules are approximately 80 nucleotides in length. Their secondary structure includes four short double-helical elements and three loops (D, anti-codon, and T loops).
Source: RNAcentral